Eriocheir sinensis (Chinese mitten crab) is the source of this 2585-nucleotide long non-coding RNA. RefSeq lists it as uncharacterized. The transcript is spliced from 2 exons. The record is from RefSeq and is a predicted model, not a curated record. NCBI's taxonomy places the organism in Eukaryota, Metazoa, Arthropoda, Malacostraca, Decapoda, Varunidae.
AGCCCAGGACCAGAGUGUGAGAGUGGCUACUAGGAUAAGGGUUUUGUGGCGUGACCUCCUGUGUGACUCCCGGUGCAAGACAGACAGAGAGUUUGAAGACACUGAACUCUAAUCUGUUAUUGUAUAUUUGGGAUUAUUUGAAGACCCUAAGAUGUUUAUAUAUUUUACAUGGUCAUAGUAUUCAACACAGGUCAUUUCAAGAUGCUGAGAUGCUUAACCCGGUAGCAGUGACAGGUCAAAUUUGUGCCAUGAUAUAAACCCUCCAAAAUAGAUGAUGCAUACUGAUCACAAAUGUGUUGAUAUAUAUUAUGAAAUGGUUUGUGUGAGUGGUGAUUUUUUUUCUCAUUUUUCUCGCCUUUAUGAAACAUGAUCCCCGCUGCUACCAGGUUAAGAAUGGACUUUAAACUGUUAUUGUACAAGAAAUUAUUUGAAGACCCUAAAAUGUUUAUAUACUUUACACUGUCAUAGUAUUCAACAGAGGCCAUUUCAAGAUGCUGAGAUGCUUAAGAAUGGACUGUUAUUGUACUUGAGAUUAUUUGAAGACCCUAAAAUGUUUAUAUACUUUACAUGGUCAUAGUAUUCAACAGAGGCCAUUUCAAGAUGCUGAGAUGCCUAAGAAUGGACUGUUAUUGUACUUGAGAUUAUUUGAAAACCUUAAAAUGUAUAUAGAUUUUACAUGGUCAUAGUAUUCAACAGAGGUCAUUUCAAGAUGCUGAGAUGCUUGUGAAAUGACUUUAAACUUAUCAUAUUUGACAGAGAUCACUUUAAGAGCCUAAGAUGAAUAUGAUAGGUCUCUAUAGUUAUUGCAUUUGACAGGAGGACUAAAUUGUUAUCAUAUUCAGACCAUUAGAUGUUUGUCAAAGGCCUGUAUUGUUAUUGGAUUUGACAGAGAUCACUUUCAGACCCCAAGAUGUUUCCAAAAGGACCUUGAACUGUUAUCAUAUUCACCUAAGAUCAUUUUAAAACCUCAUGAUGAUUACUAAAGAACUCUAAACUGUUGUAUUCAAGUGAGAUAAUUUUAAGCCCAUUAGAUAACAUAAGGUCUAGUGUUGUAUUUGCUUGUCUAAGAUCACUUCAAGACCCCAACAUGUUCAUAAAAGGUCUCUACAGCAUCAUAAAAUUCAACAGAGUCCAUUAACCUCAGAUAUUUACCAAGACUACAUUGUUAUGGAGUUCAGUCUUUAAGGAGGUUUUGGUGUGGACAGUCUCAGUUGCCAUUCAGUAGAGAUUAGUUCAGUCUGUCAGAGGGACGUUACCCCCAAGAAGACAGGGUAGCGUGCAGUCUUUAUCGUCAAACUAGGGGUCUGCGUUUAGGUUAAGGUGUUGUGAUUUGAGUUCUUGGUGUGGACAGUCUUGGUUGUUGUUCAGUACAGUUUAGUUCAGUCUAUUACGAGGGAAGUUACCCACGAGAAGACAGGGGAGCGUGCAGUCUUCUAUCGUCAAACUAGGGGUGUGUCUUUACGAUAUGGUGUUGUCUUUAAUUUCUUGGUGUGGACAGUCUCAUUUGCCAUUCAGUAUAGUUUAGUUCAGUCCGUCAGAGGGAAGUUACCCCAAAGAAGACAGGGCAGCAUGCAGUCUUCUAUCGUCAAACUAGUGGUGUGUGUUUAGGUUACGGUGAGUUCUUGGUUGCCAUUCAGUACAGUUUGACUUAGUCCGUCAGAGGGAAGUUAACCCGAAAGAAGACAGGGCAGCAUGCAGUCUAUAUUGUCAAGUUAGAGGAGCGUGUUUAGGUGGCCCCCUUAGCCUGGCCUCUCAAACAUGAACAAGGGCUAUCAGGAUUUGUUUGCUGUGUGUGGAUGUCAUUCUAACCAUAACCCUUAGGAGUGGUGUAUAUGAACAGGCAAAAGACCCUAAGAUCGUUCCCCUUACAUUUCAAAUCAUAAAAACAACAAAACCAGCUAUCGCAUAACCUAUCUACCCUCCUCACAAGCCACCUCUCAAUAUCCAAAACCUUACAACUAAAGAUACACUACAGCUAUUAGUAAAGGAGCUAGGCUUAAAGGAAGGAGCGUCAGGUACUGCAUGUCACAGCUACGUUUGCAAGACUAACUAUGGCUAUGCUAGAGUGGGUGUGCACUGCUGGACACACAUGCAGGGAGGGAGGGUUGGCACAAGUCGAAAAGGUGCGCCCUCCUGUGGACUUACCUCACGCCACACCUCUAUGGGUUUAGUCACGCCUGGGUUCAGUUUCUAAGCUAAUACUGUUCUUCAUGGUGAGUUAGGAUGAGAACUGAUUCACGUCUCUGUUCACCCUCUAUGCUACAUUUUGACAUCGUAAAUUUACUGUUGUGUAAAUAAACUGUAAGGAUUGAUUCAGCUUCCUGUUCACUCUCUAAACUAAAACUCAAUUAAGAAGACAAGUUAGGGGCUUUGGUUCAAUUGACACUUCUGUUCAUCCUCCUAAACUACUGAUCGUCAAGGAAUAGAGUCUCAUUUAGGUCUUUGGGUCAUAUUGUAAAACACUUCGUCGCCCAAGAACACAUAUCUGACAAGGCUUUCGUAAGAGUAGUAGGCAUUCCCAGUAGUAGUUUUAUAGCCUUUGUGGUAGUUUGACCCUUCUUCUGUACCCUGAAUCUGAAGAAACA